GACUUGAUGGUGUAGUUGGUAACACCUCGACUUGAUCUUCUUCGAGUAGCCACUGGCUGCUUGGGGAAUUCCAUCGGAAUUCCAUAAUCAAAAAUGUUGAAGCCCUGCGUUCGAAUCGUGGUUAAGUCA
Mycena alexandri is the source of this 129-nucleotide non-coding RNA. Lineage: Eukaryota; Fungi; Basidiomycota; Agaricomycetes; Agaricales; Mycenaceae. The record is from the annotation of a GenBank genome assembly.